UUUAAAGAAUAUCCUCCAGCUCACAUCGAAUGGUUGGAUGAUACCUCCUGUAAUGUAGUUUGGCUGGAUGAAAUGACAGCCACACGAGCACUUAUCAAUAUGAGCUCCCUGCCUGCACAGGAUAAGAUAAGAAGCAGGGAUGCCAGUGAGGACAAGUCAGCUGAGAAGAGGAAAAAAGAUAAGCAGGAAGACAGUUCAGAUGAUGAUGAAGCUGAAGAAGGAGAGGUUGAAGAUGAGAACUCAAGUGAUGUAGAGUUGGACACGUUGUCUCAGGUAGAAGAGGAGUCUUUGUUAAGAAACGAUCUUCGUCCAGCUAACAAACUUGCUAAAGGAAAUAGGUUAUUCAUGAGAUUUGCUACAAAAGGUAAAUGUAACAUUUGGUAUUGUUUUAUAUUUUCAAUCAAAAUGAUUUAUUAUGGAGUGACAUCCUUCUUUUUUGAAUAGAAGUUAGAUCAAGUAAUCUCAAAGUUCCCUUCAAACUAUAAUAUUCUGUGCUUAUGAAAUAAUUGCUUGCCACCUGAGUUGGAAUUUCUGACUUUAAAAGUGAAUUUUAACUAUUUGUAUAUUUCUGUGACCUCUGGCUAAAGUUAUUUUCUGUUGAAACUGGUUUGCCUCAUAUAUUUUCAGCCAGUUACCAUCUGAAUUAUGAAAACUUUAAAAUGAAACUUUAUUUAUUACAGCAACGUCCUCCUGAACAUUGCCAGUAUACCAUUCGGUUCUAAUUCCCUUCUCAGAUUGUUUACACACAGUGACUUUUGGUGGGCGUUUAAAAAUGUGUGUGUGUGUGUAUGUAUGUAUACACAUGUACACAUAUUUUUUUUUUAAUCAUUUGAGAGUUAGUUGAAGAUAAAAACCCAUCACCCCUAAAUGUAUUCCAAAGAACAAGAACAUUGUUUUAUACAUAGCACACUUAACAAAAUCAAGAAAUUUAACAUUAAUACAGUACUGUUACCUAAUCCGUAGUCGAUAUUCAAAUUUUGUCAGUUGUUCCAAUAAUGUCCUUUAUAUAUUCCCCGCCCAGCCCCAGGUCUAGGAUCCAUCCAGGACUGAGUGUGUAAGUAUGUAAUGUUUCCUUAGUCCCCCUUAAGCUGAAACUACUUCUAUCCUCCCAUGUUUUCCAAGAGUAUAGGUUUACUAUUUUAUAGAAUGUCCCUCAGUUUGGGUUUGUCUGAUGAUUCCUCCUGAUUGAAUUUGGGUUGUGCAUUUGAGACAGAUGUGCCACAGAAGCGAUGUCAUGUCAUUUCCAGAGCAUCAUGUCAGGAGGCCCUGGAUACUUACUCGUCCCAGUCCUAGGGACGUUCACUUUAUUCACUUGGUUAAGAUGACAAAAAGGAACUUGGAGCAGCCAGAAGAAGUCAGUAUUACAUGAAAUAUGGGAAUCCAAAUUACGGAGGCAUGAAAGGAAUUCUUAGCAAUUCCUGGAAGCGAAGAUAUCAUUCCCGUCGUAUUCAGCGGGACGUGAUCAAGAAGAGAGCCCUGAUUGGGGAUGACGUUGGCUUGACGUCGUAUAAACAUCGACAUUCUGGGCUAGUGAAUGUUCCUGAGGAACCCAUUGAAGAGGAGGAAGAGGAGGAGGAGGAGGAAGAGGAAGAGGAAGAAGAAGACCAGGACAUGGAUGCAGAUGACAGAGUGGUGGUAGAGUACCACGAGGAGCUCCCGGCUCUCAAGCAGCCCCGGGAGCGGAGCGCGUCUAGACGAUCCAGUGCCAGCAGCUCAGACUCAGAUGAAAUGGACUAUGAUCUAGAACUGAAAAUGAUUUCCACGCCUUCACCAAAGAAAAGCAUGAAAAUGACUAUGUAUGCUGACGAAGUGGAGUCUCAGUUGAAAAAUAUUAGGAACUCCAUGAGGGCAGAUAGUGUAUCUUCAAGCAAUAUCAAAAACCGAAUUGGUAACAAAUUACCACCUGAGAAAUUUGCAGAUGUCCGACAUCUAUUAGAUGAGAAACGUCAGCACUCCCGUCCACGGCCACCAGUCAGCAGUACUAAAUCAGAUAUACGCCAGCGGUUAGGAAAAAGACCACAUUCUCCGGAAAAGGCUUUUAGUAGUAACCCAGUCGUUCGGAGAGAGCCCUCUUCUGAUGUGCAUAGUAGGUUAGGUGUUCCCAGGCAAGAUAUUAAAGGCCUCUACGCCGAUACUCGGGAGAAGAAAUCAGGUAAUUUAUGGACUCGCCUAGGAUCUGCACCCAAGACCAAAGAAAAGAAUACGAAGAAAGUGGAUCACAGGGCACCUGGCGCUGAGGAAGACGACUCUGAGCUGCAAAGGGCGUGGGGGGCUCUGAUUAAGGAGAAAGAGCAGUCUCGCCAAAAGAAGAGCCGGUUAGAUAACUUACCAUCUCUCCAGAUUGAAGUUAGUCGGGAAAGCAGCUCUGGUUCAGAGGCAGAGUCCUGAUGCCCCUGGGGCCUAUGGCAGCUGCCCUAAAGCCUGACAUUCUUGCACAGGGUGGGGCGUGCAGUAGGAACCUUCCCCGCAGGAGCUGGCGCCCUCUCGCUCCUGCUCACACAGUCACCCUCAGCUCUUGCUACUUCGGCAAGACAUCUUAAGAAUGUGACACGUUUUCAAGGGCAUCUCUAUCUUUCGCUGCAGAGUUGUAGUUCUGGGCCCUCGAUUCCUUUCCCACCACCCCACAGGCUUUACCCUUUGAGAAAAAGGCAGCCCUCCAGAUUUUGUAGACAUUUUUCUUAAUAUUUUUAACAUUGUGUCUUUUAAAAGAAAUGUUUUACACAGUUCAUCCAAAGAGCAGAGAACUGAACUUCUCACUAUUGCCUUGGCCCUGACAGCUGUUACCAGCACCCUUUUCCCAAGAAAAGUCAAUUCCCAGGUGCUUAUUGGACAUCCUUCGAGGGGGAAGAGGAGGGAAGCGGCCAGCUCACCCUUCCGGGACCCUAGUGUGGGGGCGAAUCUCACGGACCUGACCUCAGAGGUGCACCAGUGCCGCCCAGGUAGAUAAGAGCUGCAGCAUUGACUGUGCUUCCGUCCUUCCCUCGGGGAUUGCUCAUGGGCCUCUUACUUGCUGUCAGCUUGAUGUGAAGAUCAACUUCAGUGCUGUGGGAUUUUUAGGAACAAAAAACUGUGACGUCUGGAUUUGGGGUUGAUUUUUGUGCUAGGGGUGGGGUUAUGGGUUAAUGUUGAAGAAUUUUUAAGUCUGUAUUAUGUUUAAAACACGAAUGAUUUGAAAGUUUAAAUUUUUAAGUUUUAUAUGUGGAAAUUCUUCCUGUUGGCUAAAGGGGAAGCUCAAGUGGUGUCUUCUUUUGUGCUGUUAAAUAUAUAUUCUAUUCUUUGGAAGAAGGCAGAGAGAGGAGUCUUAUUAUUUUUAAAUGCUCCUAGUUGUAUAGUCUGUCUGUUGUACAUAGAGUUCAGCUUGUUUUUUGGCUCCAGUAGGAAAAAAAUCCAUCCAUCUGAGAUGGGGUCCUGUUGUUUAUUAUCACUCUAGAAGUUAUACAUUGAUAUUUAUUCUUUCUGUCCGCAAGUUGUGGCACCUGAAGACAUCUUCAAAAUUAGCAGAAAAGAUAAUAGUUAUAAAAAUUUUAGUUCAUUUAUUUUUAAACUCCUUUCAGAUUAUUUUACCAUUAGGAGGAGGUAGAUUGUUUCGUCUUCCUGUCUGAUUUUUGUUUUGUAGUAUUUAAUUUUGUAUUCCUCUGCAGUUUUAAGAAACAGUGUUUUUCUUCGGUUUGCUGGAACAUGGGAGUCAGAGAUGGUAAUAAGCCGUGGUCCUUUUUGCGAUGUCACGACUCUUCACCUGCCUGGGCUGUUGUGCACACAGUGCAGCCUGGAUCCUGUCGAUCUUUACUUGUGGCUGAGCUAAUGGUCACAUUGAUAGUUGAUUACACUGUGGCACGAAUUAAUGCAGAACACUGUUAUUAAUAAAGGAAGUAAAGGGCUGCAAGAUUUAAGAGCUGCAAC
Molecule: small RNA, 3900 nt
Filed under: Pongo abelii (Sumatran orangutan)
Lineage: Eukaryota; Metazoa; Chordata; Mammalia; Primates; Hominidae
Description: retained intron
Source: RNAcentral